RNAcentral lists this transfer RNA (71 nucleotides) under Camelus bactrianus (Bactrian camel). It matches the Rfam family "tRNA". From Rfam's summary of the family: Transfer RNA (tRNA) molecules are approximately 80 nucleotides in length. The record is from Rfam by way of RNAcentral. Lineage: Eukaryota; Metazoa; Chordata; Mammalia; Artiodactyla; Camelidae. RNAcentral also lists the same sequence under 2 other names.
GAGGUUAUAGCCCAGGGGUAGGGCAUGUGCUUAGCAUGCACAAGGUCCUGGGUUCAACCCCCAGAACCUCU